Molecule: ribosomal RNA, 497 nt
Filed under: uncultured bacterium
Lineage: Bacteria
Description: partial 16S ribosomal RNA
Rfam family: Bacterial small subunit ribosomal RNA
Source: RNAcentral
GAUGAACGCUGGCGGCGUGCCUAAUACAUGCAAGUCGAGCGAACAGACGAGGAGCUUGCUCCUCUGACGUUAGCGGCGGACGGGUGAGUAACACGUGGAUACCCUACCUAUAAGACUGGGAUAACUUCGGGAAACCGGAGCUAAUACCGGAUAAUAUAUUGAACCGCAUGGUUCAAUAGUGAAAUACGGUUUUGCUGUCACUUAUAGAUGGAUCCGCGCCGCAUUAGCUAGUUGGUAAGGUAACGGCUUACCAAGGCAACGAUGCGUAGCCGACCUGAGAGGGUGAUCGGCCACACUGGAACUGAGACACGGUCCAGACUCCUACGGGAGGCAGCAGUAGGGAAUCUUCCGCAAUGGGCGAAAGCCUGACGGAGCAACGCCGCGUGAGUGAUGAAGGUCUUCGGAUCGUAAAACUCUGUUAUUAGGGAAGAACAAAUGUGUAAGUAACUAUGCACGUCUUGACGGUACCUAAUCAGAAAGCCACGGCUAACUACGUG